RNAcentral lists this ribosomal RNA (429 nucleotides) under Bacteroidota bacterium. RNAcentral describes it as "Bacteroidetes bacterium partial 16S ribosomal RNA". It matches the Rfam family "Bacterial small subunit ribosomal RNA", at positions 355 to 776 of the family's 1533-position model. The record is from RNAcentral. Lineage: Bacteria; Pseudomonadati; Bacteroidota.
UAGGGAAUCUUCGGCAAUGGGGGUAACCCUGACCGAGCAACGCCGCGUGUGUGAAGAAGGUUUUCGGAUCGUAAAGCUCUUUUGUUAAGGAAGAACGAGUGUGAGAAUGGAAAGUUCAUACUGUGACGGUACUUAACCAGAAAGGGACGGCUAACUACGUGCCAGCAGCCUCCGUAAUACGUAGGUCCCGAGCGUUUUCCGGAUUGAUUGGGCGUAAAGCGAGCGCAGGCGGUUAGAUAAGUCUGAAGUUAAAGGCAGUGGCUCAACCAUUGUAGGCUUUGGAAACUGUUUAACUUGAGUGCAGAAGCGGAGAGUGGAAUUCCAUGUGUAGCGGUGAAAUGCGUAGAUAUAUGGAGGAACACCGGUGUCGAAAGCGGCUCUCUGGUCUGUAACUGACGCUGAUGCUCGAAAGCGUGGGGAGCGAACAGG